GCCGUCGUAAUCUAGCGGUUAGGACAUUGUGUUGUGGCCGCAAGAACCCAGGUUCGAAUCCUGGCGACAGCA
Opisthorchis viverrini is the source of this 72-nucleotide non-coding RNA. NCBI's taxonomy places the organism in Eukaryota, Metazoa, Platyhelminthes, Trematoda, Opisthorchiida, Opisthorchiidae. The record is from Rfam.